GACGAACCGUGCUACCGUUGUUCGGAAUCACUGGGCUUAAAGGGCGCGUAGGCGGUUUGCCAAGUCAGGGGUGAAAUCUUUCGGCUCAACCGGAAAAGGGCCUUUGAUACUGGCAAACUAGAGCGAGGUAGGGGCAGAUGGAACUUCCGGUGGAGCGGUGAAAUGUGUUGAUAUCGGAAGGAACGCCGGUGGCGAAAGCGAUCUGCUGGACCUCUUCUGACGCUGAGGCGCGAAAGCCAGGGGAGCAAACGGG
This 253-nucleotide ribosomal RNA is filed under the name uncultured bacterium. RNAcentral's name for it is "partial 16S ribosomal RNA". It matches the Rfam family "Bacterial small subunit ribosomal RNA", at positions 524 to 776 of the family's 1533-position model. The record is from RNAcentral.